CAUCAGCUACGGGGGGCAGCAGUGGGGAAUAUUGCACAAUGGGGGGAACCCUGAUGCAGCAAUGCCGCGUGGGUGAAGAAGCACUCCGGUGCGUAAAGCCCUGUCAGCAGGGAAGAAAAUGACAGUACCUGACCAAGAAGCCCCGGCUAACUACGUGCCAGCAGCCGCGGUAAUACGUAGGGGGCAAGCGUCAUCCGGAUUUACUGGGUGUAAAGGGAGCGCAGGCGGUAUGGAAAGUCAGAUGUGAAAACCCAGGGCCCAACACUGGGACUGCAUUUGAAACUGCCC
RNAcentral lists this ribosomal RNA (288 nucleotides) under uncultured bacterium. Its description in RNAcentral is "partial 16S ribosomal RNA". It matches the Rfam family "Bacterial small subunit ribosomal RNA", at positions 333 to 638 of the family's 1533-position model. The record is from RNAcentral.